RNAcentral lists this ribosomal RNA (449 nucleotides) under uncultured prokaryote. Its description in RNAcentral is "bacterial SSU rRNA". It matches the Rfam family "Bacterial small subunit ribosomal RNA", at positions 355 to 796 of the family's 1533-position model. The record is from RNAcentral.
UGGGGAAUCUUGCACAAUGGGCGCAAGCCUGAUGCAGCAAUGCCGCGUGUGUGAAGAAGGCCUGCGGGUUGUAAGGCACUUUCAGUAGAGACGAAAAGCUUAAGGAUAAUACCCUUGAGUCUUGACUUAACCUACAGAAGAAGCACCGGCUAACUCCGUGCCAGCAGCCGCGGUAAUACGGAGGGUGCGAGCGUUAAUCGGAAUCACUGGGCGUAAAGCGCGCGUAGGUGGUUUGCUAAGUCGGAUGUGAAAGCCCCGGGCUUAACCUGGGAAUUGCAUUCGAUACUGGCAGACUAGAGUGUGGUAGAGGGAAGUGGAAUUCCGGGUGUAGCGGUGAAAUGCGUAGAUAUCCGGAGGAACAUCAGUGGCGAAGGCGACUUCCUGGACUAACACUGACACUGAGGCGCGAAAGCGUGGGGAGCAAACAGGAUUAGAUACCCGGGUAGUCC